GAUGAACGCUGGCGGCGUGCCUAAUACAUGCAAGUCGAGCGAACAGACGAGGAGCUUGCUCCUCUGACGUUAGCGGCGGACGGGUGAGUAACACGUGGAUAACCUACCUAUAAGACUGGGAUAACUUCGGGAAACCGGAGCUAAUACCGGAUAAUAUAUUGAACCGCAUGGUUCUAUAGUGAAAGACGGUUUUGCUGUCACUUAUAGAUGGAUCCGCGCCGCAUUAGCUAGUUGGUAAGGUAACGGCUUACCAAGGCAACGAUGCGUAGCCGACCUGAGAGGGUGAUCGGCCACACUGGAACUGAGACACGGUCCAGACUCCUACGGGAGGCAGCAGUAGGGAAUCUUCCGCAAUGGGCGAAAGCCUGACGGAGCAACGCCGCGUGAGUGAUGAAGGUCUUCGGAUCGUAAAACUCUGUUAUUAGGGAAGAACAAAUGUGUAAGUAACUAUGCACGUCUUGACGGUACCUAAUCAGAAAGCCACGGCUAACUACGUG
Molecule: ribosomal RNA, 497 nt
Filed under: uncultured bacterium
Lineage: Bacteria
Description: partial 16S ribosomal RNA
Rfam family: Bacterial small subunit ribosomal RNA
Source: RNAcentral